AUUCUACUCCCUCCAUCCCAAAUUAGUUGUCUUAGAUCUGUCAAGACACAAAUGUAUCUAACACAAAGAUAAAGGUGUAUCUAACACGUGUUAGAUACAUCCAUAUCUAGACAAAUCUAAGACAACUAAUUCGGGACGGAAGUAAUAAAAG
Non-coding RNA from Triticum aestivum (bread wheat), 151 nucleotides. The record is from Rfam. NCBI's taxonomy places the organism in Eukaryota, Viridiplantae, Streptophyta, Magnoliopsida, Poales, Poaceae.